This 253-nucleotide ribosomal RNA is filed under the name uncultured bacterium. RNAcentral describes it as "partial 16S ribosomal RNA". It matches the Rfam family "Bacterial small subunit ribosomal RNA", at positions 524 to 776 of the family's 1533-position model. The record is from RNAcentral.
GACGAACCGUGCGAACGUUGUUCGGAAUCACUGGGCUUAAAGGGCGCGUAGGCGGGCUGUCAAGUCUGGGGUGAAAUGCUGCGGCUCAACCGUAGAACUGCCUUAGAUACUGAUGGCCUCGAGGAAGGUAGGGGCAUGCGGAACUGUAGGUGGAGCGGUGAAAUGCGUUGAUAUCUACAGGAACUCCGGUGGCGAAAGCGGCGUGCUGGACCUUUUCUGACGCUGAGGCGCGAAAGCUAGGGGAGCAAACGGG